GGCACUUUGGCGGAGUGGUUAACGCGCUGGCCUGCUAUCCUCCUUCGGGAAGCAGUUAAGCCAGUUCCUUCGGGAGCGUGAGUUCGAAUCUCACAGGUGUCG
Molecule: transfer RNA, 102 nt
Filed under: Aplosporella prunicola CBS 121167
Lineage: Eukaryota; Fungi; Ascomycota; Dothideomycetes; Botryosphaeriales; Aplosporellaceae
Rfam family: tRNA
About the family: Transfer RNA (tRNA) molecules are approximately 80 nucleotides in length.
Source: Rfam by way of RNAcentral